UCGUCCUACGGGGCGCAGCAGUGGGGGAUAUUGCACAAUGGGGGGAACCCUGAUGCAGCGACGCCGCGUGGGCGAUGGAGUACUUCGGUAUGUAAAGCCCUAUCAGCAGGGAAGAAAAUGACGGUACCUGACUAAGAAGCCCCGGCUAAAUACGUGCCAGCAGCCGCGGUAAUACGUAUGGGGCAAGCGUUAUCCGGAUUUACUGGGUUUAAAGGGUGCGCAGGCGGAUUUUUAAGUCAGCGGUCAAAUCGUGGGGCUCAACCCCAUCCAGCCGUUGAAACUGGGGAUCUAGAGUGUGCGAGAGG
RNAcentral lists this ribosomal RNA (305 nucleotides) under uncultured bacterium. RNAcentral's name for it is "bacterial SSU rRNA". It matches the Rfam family "Bacterial small subunit ribosomal RNA", at positions 334 to 657 of the family's 1533-position model. The record is from RNAcentral.